AUGGAAAAUCGUAAUGUCAAUAUGGAUGAAGGAAACGCCUCAGAAAAUUACUUACGAGAGCCAAUUUUGCGACUGAUAAAAUGCGAAGUCGAAAACGUCGGCGAUUGUGAACACACAGCGAUUGAACAUAAACAUAUAACUGUUCCUCUGCUGACAAAAAUUAAAACAGAAAUUGAUGAAGACAGGAAUCCACUUGCAGGUAUAGCAAAUAUACCCCCAGUUACAUUUGAUUUGGUCAUGAAAAAAGAAACUGAAAGUGAACAGCCAAAUCGAGGGGACAAACAUACCGUCCAUCAGUCAAAAAUCAGGGUGAAAGAAGAGUUCGUGAGAGACGACACUGACGAGGAUCUAGGAAGCUGUCCUCAAGAAAUUGAAGUUUCACAGAUGCGACAGAAUUCAGUGGCCCUCCUCAGGGUACUUGAUCAGGAACCACCAUUACACGACCAUUCACGUGUGAUAGAAGCUGCCCAAAGUGUUGCUCAUCCUGAUCAUUUGAAUGAAAUUUUACCAGACCAACGUAAAUUGGUUGUUCUUCUCAAGAAACUUGACCCAAAAUUGUUACACAACCAUCCAAGGGUACCAGAAGCAACUUUGAAUGCCAAUCAUUCUAUUCUAAACUCUCAGACAAAAACGAAGGGUCCUGUCAUGGAUUCUUUCAUUUCUUCUCUCGGCGAUUCGGCCCUAAAAUACCCCAAAACCGAGCGACAGAUCAAGAACCCUCGUGAAUCAUUGGAAAAAAGACGUGUAAAUUCCAAACGACAUAAGAAUUUCAACCAACAGCAGAAAAGAGAAAUUGUAUCAAACCAGGAUGAAAAGCACCACUCCCAGUCUCACCAUAUUUCUCAAACUGCGUACCGUGCUAGAAGACGUUUGAAUUCCCACCAGCAUCCGGCAAGGGAUCUGAUUAUAUACAAUAACCAACCCAGCGAGAACAAAAGAGGCAAGAAAGCCUCGUCUUUGAAGACAUUACACUUGGAUUCCCAGAGCGAGAAAGUCUCGUCAUUGAAGACAUUACACUUGGAUUCUCAGAGCGAGAAAGUCUCUUCAUUGAAGACAUUACGCAUGGAUUCUCAGAGCGAGAACAUGGGACGUGAAACAGGUGAAACGAAGCAACCUGCAUCAUUUCCCUCUAAUUUGUGUUUACAGUCUUCUUCACAACUGAAAACGAACCCUUCUACUAAAAACGAUGAUCGAUCUGAUUGUUCCCGCAAUUUCUCAGAAAAAUGUAUGCAAGAACAUGAUUCCAUGAAACACGACACGUUGGUCCAUGAUAAUGACCGACCGCAUUCGUUUGAUCCACCUGAACACGAACUCGCAAUGCGAAAUGAUACAGAUGACCGAUAUUUUAUUUGCGAUUAUUGUCAGUAUAAGUCCAGAUUUAAAGGCAAUUUGAAGAAGCACAUUUCCCGUAUCCACAUUUUGGAUGAUCUAUCUUUCUCUUGUGGUCAUUGUGCGAAGACAUUUUGCUCAAAAGAAUAUUUGGCUAGACAUAUUGCCCGUAAUCACAGUCAAGAUCGACCGCUCUCUCGUGAUAUUUGUACACGUAAAUUUAAAAAUAAAGGUUCUUUGCGGAGCCACGUUUCGCUCAUUCACUGCGACGAUCGGCCGUUCCAUUGCAGUAUUUGUACAUGUAAAUUUAAAUCUAAUUAUAGUUUGUGUAGCCAUAUCUUGCACGUGCAUAUAGAACCGAUCGCUCUCGCUCUUGUGGACAUUGUGCUAAACAAAUUAAGACGAAAACAGCUCUAA
Molecule: long non-coding RNA, 1746 nt
Filed under: Bemisia tabaci
Lineage: Eukaryota; Metazoa; Arthropoda; Insecta; Hemiptera; Aleyrodidae
Description: lncRNA ENSSSA1UGG012898
Source: RNAcentral